Molecule: ribosomal RNA, 471 nt
Filed under: uncultured Glomus
Lineage: Eukaryota; Fungi; Glomeromycota; Glomeromycetes; Glomerales; Glomeraceae
Description: SSU rRNA
Rfam family: Eukaryotic small subunit ribosomal RNA
Source: RNAcentral
AGCAGCCGCGGUAAUUCCAGCUCCAAUAGCGUAUAUUAAAGUUGUUGCAGUUAAAAAGCUCGUAGUUGAAUUUCGGGACUAAUAUGUCGGUCGUACUUUGUACGUACUAGCAUUAUUGGUUUCUCCCUUCUGACGAACCACGAUGUCAUUAAUUUGGUGUCAUGGGAAAUCAGGACUGUUACUUUGAAAAAAUUAGAGUGUUUAAAGCAAGCUCGCGCUUGAAUACAUUAGCAUGGAAUAAUGAAAUAGGACGUUUGAUUCUAUUUUGUUGGUUUCUAGGAUCGACGUAAUGAUUAAUAGGGAUAGUUGGGGGCAUUAGUAUUCAAUUGUCAGAGGUGAAAUUCUUGGAUUUAUUGAAGACUAACUACUGCGAAAGCAUUUGCCAAGGAUGUUUUCAUUAAUCAAGAACGAAAGUUAGGGGAUCGAAGACGAUCAGAUACCGUCGUAGUCUUAACCAUAAACUAUGCCGAC